CCAGCCCCCAGCCCCCCCACCGUUUUUAAUAUUUUAUAUGGAGACAAGUUCUCACUGAGUUGCUUAGGGCUUCACUAGGUUUCUGAGCCUGAUGAACUCGCCAUCCUGCCUCAGGAUCCCAAGCCACUGGAAUUACAGGUGGAUGCCACCUGACCUGUCUCUGAAGUUGUCUUUAUAGGAAAGAGCUGGGGGAGAAGUAACUAUGCAAGAACAGGGUGACUUGUGAGAAAGUUGAGCUAGGAGCUAGCACAGAACUGGGGGGAGGAGGGCGGAACUGGGGGCAGAUGUGGCUGAGGAGAUGCUGAUUACAGCGAAUAGGCAGAGCUGUGGCUAAGAAUUGGGGAAGUUGCUGAAUGCUCAAGCACUCUGUAAGGAGCUGGUGCAGAGAUGCAGGCAGAUCUUUGGAGAAAGCUGGGGAAAGACCUAGUGCUGCACCAGGGAGGGGGGACCUAUGGUCAAGUUGGGGGAGGAGCCCACAGAGCUGUGGGAGGAGCUGCCAGAUGCACAGGGCAGAAGUGAGGAGGAAGCUUAGGGUUUCUGUGCUGCACUCUUAGUCAAGAGGGGAAAAUGGCCAAACCAGGGUCCUCAUGGACCUAACCGAACCCUGAGUGUGUACUUUAGGGUGCACUCCAGAGGAGUAGCAGCUGGGAGUUCAGGGCUGAGGCUUGCACCACAGGGAUGAACCCCCCACAGCUUUCCUUUCCCCUAGAUGCAUUUUGGUUCCUGCCAGUGAGGCUGGGAAUAACCGUCUUUUGUUUUGAAGGGAGCUGAAUAGCACCACCCUAUGUGCUGCUGCCCCUCAGACCUAAGUUGCCAAAACCACCUCCCAACUUCCGUGCCAACCUGGCUUUUCGUCUUUCACACCACAACCUUCCCUCAGGAUCACCAUGCUUCCUUACACUGUCCUGCCUAGUGACUGGAGAGCCAAGUUCUAGGUCCCUGCCUCUACCUUACAUGUAAGAAGACAGAUUCCUCUUCCUUUGUUCCCUUUGCUACUUGCUGAGGUCAGGCCACAUUCUCUGGUGUCUGUGCUAUCCCCUGAUUUUCCUGACUGGCCUAGAGUCCUGUGUUGCGUCUUUUCUGUUGGUCCUCCAUCAUACAGUACCCCUCACUCUCUACCUUGCAAAUCAGUCCCCUACUGAAAACCUGCCAAGCCUUCUCCUGUAGGGGUGCAGGCGCCUCAAGUUUCAGCCCGAGCUCUCUCCCCCCUUCUGGACUAACACUGGCCAGAGUCAAAGUGUGCUUUGGGGUACCUGGUCCCUGACCCAACCUGUUCCACAGGACUCCUUGCUUUGAAGCUAUGGUUCGUACAGAAUUGAAUGCCCAUCCCCUCUUAUCCUGACAACCUAUCCUCCAAGCACAACUUUCAAUUCACCUUCACUGUUGCACAAUCAAGUGUCCUAUUUCUGGUAGCCUUCCUUCUGGUAGACCCAUGCUCCAAGCAUUGGGUCCUUGUAACCCAGAGCUGCAACUGCUCUCCCGGAGUCUGUGGCCACAGCAGGAUCUCUAAGUUCCUGGAAGGCAAGGCUGCUUUUACUCCUUUCUGUAAUCUGGGUGCCGGGCAUAGUAGCUGCUUAGUAAACAUCAGAUGGACCAGAGGAGUGCUCUCUCCCAGUGAGAGGUACUUGUACUUUUCCUGGAGAAGCUCAAGAAAACAGGAAAGCUGGAGGUAAAGUGAGUGGGAGAGGGUACCUUGUUCACAUGAGGGAGGCCUUAGGGCUCAAGGAGCCUUAAAGUUCAUAUGGGACUCCCACCUAGGUUGGUGUCCCCUCCAGGCCUCUUUCCUCCACAAAUCGUUCCAGCCCCUGCCCAGCACCACGGCAUCUCCUCAGAGCUGUUUGGAAUGUAAGUGAGGGUCCCAUCAAUGUGUGCCGUUCCUGUUCUUAGGCCCUGUUGUUUGAUGAGCUGGAACUUGCCUAAGGAGCUGGAUUCUCAUAGCACAUGGCUGCUAGUGGGGGCCUCCAUGGGGACAUAAUGUAAGCGCUCCUGCUUCUGACUCCUGGGCUGUUCCUUGCUCUCGUGUAUGCUGAGAAGUGGGGUGCAGUUCACAGAUGAAUGCACCAUCUCCCUGGGCAUAAGAGUGCCCAGCAGAGGCCUGAUCUGCUGUCUGAUCAGGAGGUGAAGUCCCGGGGUAGCAGCUGCAAGUCCAGCUCUCUGCUGCAGCAGUGGGUGGGGCCUUGGAAGCAUCGCCUCAGUAGGUUUUGCGUGGGGAGGUCUUUGGCUGCCACAGGGAAAAGGACAAGGAUGCUUUUGCAUCUUGAUUUUCAUUACACAUAACAAGUCAGUGGCAGCCCUGAAAAUGGGCUGAUGUCUGACCUCCUGAUCACAUUCUCUUCACUAGCUGCUCCCUGUCUCCCCUCAUGGACCAAAUCCUGGUGGGGACUCACUCCCACCUUCUCUGGCCAUCACGGGUCAGGUGUGCCCUCCCCUCCCCAGACCCAUCUCACUUCUUCCUUCCACUGUGUUUUCCUUGCAGGGGCUCCAGAGCCUCCAGGCCAGCAGUAGCCUGCAGAUAUGUGGAACCCUUUGGGGUUCCUUCCUCUGCUCCUUCUCAGGCACCUUCUCCUUGUCUACUCCCCACUAACACUGAGCUUUGCUCAACUCCUGGGAUCAGGAUUGAGUCUCCUCCACCAGCUCUGCUUUCUUCUCCAGACCAAGCCUUCAGCACAGGAGCCUUUGAGGGCUAUUCCAGAUUCAAAGUAAAACAGACGCAGAUAGUAGAAGAGCCAAGUAUGACCUUUGUGUGUUUCUGUGAAUUUAUGGUGCCAAAACAUUAUUAGCAGCUUUUAAUUUAAUCAGA
This 2800-nucleotide long non-coding RNA is filed under the name Marmota monax (woodchuck). The record is from RNAcentral. Lineage: Eukaryota; Metazoa; Chordata; Mammalia; Rodentia; Sciuridae.